CCAGGCGAGGAGCGGGGGCGGCUCGGGGCUGCGGCGGCCGCACCAGCCCUCGGUUCCUGCCCGGGUCCCGCGGAGACUUCGCUGGCCUGCUGCGACGCGGGCUAGAUCUCCGGGACCACAUGCUCCCCCAUUUCUCCCAGCCGCAGCUCUCAUCCACCCGGACCCCAGCAUCUUAGUCCUGCCACCCCCAGGCCCCCCUCGUUGAACUCGGCCGGUCCUUGUGCCUCUGCCUUUCCAGAACGGGCCCCUGUGCAGCCCCAGCACUCGCCCCGCCCGCCGCCGCUGGCCUAGGCUCUCCGGCCCGGCCCACCCACGUUCCCGGCCCGUCCUGCCGGUAAACCUUUUCCUCCUGGGGAAGUGCUUGCUCUUUCUAAGACUGGCCCUCCCUUUGACGGUUGGGUCAGAACUACUUCCGGCAACGAAGAAUGAAGAAUGACGCCUAGAAUGGCUCUAGUUAACAUUCCUCCGUUUUGCCACAAAGCUGGGAACUAGCCUCCCACGGGGGCUUCCAGGCCUGACCCAGGAUACCGCCUAUAUGUGAGAGACUCAACAAUCUCUCUCUCUCCAGUCCUGCUCUUUAUCACAAGCUCCAGGUUCGCAGGUCCCAGGGCAGCCUCCACACCUCUGCAUGGAGGUCAACUCAGACAUCAGACUUGACUUGCCCAAUACAAGAAAACCACAGACUGAACUCAGUUAUGAAUACUGAUGCAAGAAUGCUAAAAACAUGUGCUGACCCCAGAUGUAAAUCAAAUGAAUUCCGAGACACCCAAGGUCUCCCAAUCAAAGAAGGCCACCCUCAACCAUCCCCGCCGGCCUCCGAUGCCCGGUCUGCUCCACUCCAGCCCAGCUGGUCUCCUCCCUGUCCCUCAUGAAGGAAGAGAACAGAUUCCUCCUUCUUGGAUGCUGAAAAGGAAGACGAGCCGGACAGAAGCCUGGCAGUUUGGGGUUCCUGCUCUUUCUCAGCAAGGUCUGUGGAGAAGGAGCACAGAACUAGGAAGGGAACCAUCAGCUGCUCCCCAAAUUCUGCCUCUCUCCAUCCCCAGCUGGAAGCCAAUGGCCAAAGGAGGGAGGGGAGCCCGUCCCUGGUUUGCUCCAGAGGGGGGGUCCCUGCUGCCUCCCAGAGCCUCCCCAUUCCCCCUGUUACAGGAUGAGGGGUCAGAGACGGGUCCCCAAAGUGUUUGUAGGAGAAAGACUGUGACCACCCCGGCCAGUCCAAAGGCAAAGCAAGAAACCAGCUGUCAACCAAACAGGGUCAUAACAGUUUACAAGCCAGAGACGGUCACAGCAGAGUCCUGGCAAUUCCCAGUUUGCUGCCGCUGGGGUAGGUGCACACCCCAGGGGGGUGGAGGCCAGAGAGGGAUAGGACCAGCCCCCUGGACAGACUCCAGUCUCGGGGGAUGCAGCAGGGCUGCACCUGCACCCAGCAGGUAUUACCUGCUUCCUCCAUCCUGAUACACCUUAGGGAAUCAAUGACGCUGGGACAGGCCUCGGUUCUCCCCACCACAUCCCCUCUAUCUGGGACCCAAGUCUCUAGGUCUCCCUGCACAUGCAGCUGAGACCAGUGUGUGAGUUCCACAGGAUUAGAAAUACUUUCCAAUGCUUUCUCCAUUAUCCCCAUAACCUGACGAGGCAAGUCCUCCCAGACCUCUUUCUCUGCCAGCCUGUCCUGCCCUGCCCUCCACCUCUGUUUCCAAUUCAGUGAAUGUAUCCAGAAACCUGGCA
Molecule: long non-coding RNA, 1722 nt
Organism: Canis lupus familiaris (dog)
Lineage: Eukaryota; Metazoa; Chordata; Mammalia; Carnivora; Canidae
Exons: 3
Source: RefSeq, a predicted model, not a curated record